RNAcentral lists this ribosomal RNA (1060 nucleotides) under Rhizopus sp. Its description in RNAcentral is "SSU rRNA". It matches the Rfam family "Eukaryotic small subunit ribosomal RNA", at positions 54 to 1115 of the family's 1831-position model. The record is from RNAcentral. Lineage: Eukaryota; Fungi; Mucoromycota; Mucoromycetes; Mucorales; Rhizopodaceae.
CAUGUUCUAGUAUAAUAACUUUAUAUUGUGAAACUGCGAAUGGCUCAUUAAAUCAGUUAUGAUCUACGUGACAAAUUCUUUACUACUUGGAUAACCGUGGUAAUUCUAGAGCUAAUACAUGCAUAAAAGCCCUGACUUCGGAAGGGGUGCACUUAUUAGAUAAAACCAACGCGGGGUAAAACCUGUUUUGUGGUGAAUCAUAAUAAUUAAGCGGAUCGCAUGGCCUUGUGCUGGCGACGGUCCACUCGAUUUUCUGCCCUAUCAUGGUUGAGAUUGUAAGAUAGAGGCUUACAAUGCCUACAACGGGUAACGGGGAAUUAGGGUUCGAUUCCGGAGAGGGAGCCUGAGAAACGGCUACCACAUCCAAGGAAGGCAGCAGGCGCGCAAAUUACCCAAUCCCGACACGGGGAGGUAGUGACAAUACGUAACAAUGCAGGGCCUUUAAGGUCUUGCAAUUGGAAUGAGUACAAUUUAAAUCCCUUAACGAGGAACAAUUGGAGGGCAAGUCUGGUGCCAGCAGCCGCGGUAAUUCCAGCUCCAAUAGCGUAUAUUAAAGUUGUUGCAGUUAAAACGUCCGUAGUCAAACUUUAGUCUUACCGACGUAAUGGCCUAGUCUUCAUUGACUAAGCUCGUUAUCGUUGGAGACUCCAUGUUUCUUGGACUCUUCUUGGCUUCGGUCUUGGAGGGCUCUUUGGAACAAUUACCAUGAGCAAAUCAGAGUGUUUAAAGCAGGCUUUUAUGCCUAAAUGUGUUAGCAUGGAAUAAUGAAAUAUGACUUUUGUCCUAUUUUCGUUGGUUUAGGAUAUCAAGUAAUGAUGAAUAGAAACGGUUGGGGGCAUUUGUAUUUGGUCGCUAGAGGUGAAAUUCUUGGAUUGACCGAAGACAAACUACUGCGAAAGCAUUUGACCCAGGACGUUUUCAUUGAUCAAGGUCUAAAGUUAAGGGAUCGAAGACGAUUAGAUACCGUCGUAGUCUUAACCACAAACUAUGCCGACUAGAGAUUGGGAGUGUUUAUUAUGACUCUCUCAGCAUCUUAGCGAAAGUAAAGUUUUUGGGUUCU